RNAcentral lists this long non-coding RNA (440 nucleotides) under Oryctolagus cuniculus (rabbit). Its description in RNAcentral is "lncRNA (ENSOCUG00000030072.1)". Lineage: Eukaryota; Metazoa; Chordata; Mammalia; Lagomorpha; Leporidae. The record is from RNAcentral.
AUAAGCAGUUGCAAAGUUCGAUUUUGCUGUAUAGUAUUGAGCCACAUAUUCUUCACAGUAUAUUUUGCUCAUACCUACUGCAGACUUCCUCAUGACAGCUGAAGUGCAAACUGUAAAUGGUGGAAGACAGAAGACUUAUUAUAGAUUUUACAUCCUGCCCACGAGGAUUUUGACUGAUUCCAUUGAGCAGGCUCGGGUCAGCUAAGUCCUUCCCUUCAAAGCAUCAUGGGUGUCUCCGAGCAUCAUUGCGAGCUUGUCCUGGCAGUAAGCCAGGCUUCAAAAGCCUUUCACUGCAGUCACUGACUCACUAAUGGGCAACUGCAGGCUUUCUGAUUUUCUUUUCGUUUCAUGUGUUCAUUUGACAUAAAUUUAAUUAAACCAAAUCUGGUGUUAAAGCAAGACGAGAUAAAAGUGAUAUGUUUCAAAUUAAAGAACUGUGA